Long non-coding RNA from Anguilla anguilla (European eel), 476 nucleotides. RefSeq lists it as uncharacterized. The transcript has 2 exons. The record is from RefSeq and is a predicted model, not a curated record. NCBI's taxonomy places the organism in Eukaryota, Metazoa, Chordata, Actinopteri, Anguilliformes, Anguillidae.
UCGCCGCCGUCCUGAUCAGCCAGCUUGGACGCGAGUCGGCGCCGUCGCGCAACGAAAUCGAUCCGGCAGCUACCGCGUCCGCGUUUCUCUUUAGUUUUUGGAACGAAACCGAAAUUCAGCUGGGAGCGCCACCGAGAGCGCAGCUGUGCGUCCCUGCGAUGUCCGGGCACGGCAUGUCGUUUCAGGCUUACGGCUGCGGUGAUGGGAGUCUUUUCCUUAUUAACCCUGAGAGCGAGUGACCCCGGUCGCUACGGUGGCUCUUGUUUAAUUUCUGCGGUGAAGCCGGCUCAGGGAUUUCACCCAGCAGCCCUGAGGGGAGUACGGAGGACAUGAGGGGCCUGAGGGGCUCAGAGGAGAGGGCCUGGCUGGCUCUGCCGUGCUCCUGACUCUCCCAUGAUAACCCGCAGUCUCAGGUUUUAUCCCUGGUACCGUGUCAUCUCUUCAUUGUUUAUUAAAUCAAGGAAAAUCUUCCCUAA